CGUGAUAGAUGCAAAGUAGAUUGGAAUAUAAGUAAAUCUGAUGUAGGAGUAAACAGAUAUUCACAAAGUAAAUUAAAGUCCAGUGUUGAUUUAAGCAAGUUGGAUGUUCUGCAGGGAGAUAGGAAGUCCAGGUAGGUUUGCUGCAGGAAUGAAGAGUUGUACAGGUAAGUUUGGAGCAGGUUGGUAUUGCAGGAUAAGUAGCCAAUAAGGAAAAUCAAUAGGUUAACUCAUGGCACUCAUUAAACUUCAAUGUCAAGGCGUUACCUUUUGUAGGAAUCCAAGUUAAUCCAGGCAGGUGAGCAUGAUAAAGUGAGUGGUCAAACUGGAGGCAAGGGAGGCCAUUAGUAGUAAAACAAAGUCAAUGCAGAAACUUGUUUUUUUUAAAGGAACGGGAUAUACAGAACAAAAGUCUUUCUUGUAAGGACAGGAUCCUGACACACAGGCUCCAAGUUGAAAAGGGAGGCAAGACCUACUCACUUAAUCACCUCUCCGAAGCGCAUCACCUACUACGGGAGCUGGGAUCACCUAAGGGUCCCUUCUCCAUACCGCAACAUCCUUUGUAGUCAGUUGACCGGAUAACUUCAUUUGUCCCAAGAGUAGCCUGCCCCGGGAUCAAGUGAUUCGCCACCGUGAUGAAAGCUAUCGCGCCACCUUCUCUAACCUACAUUAGAUGCUCUUUACAAGCGUAUUUUACUUUUCUUUAUAACUGUUGACAACGUUAUUAUGCCACGUUUU
This is a non-coding RNA of Pelobates cultripes (western spadefoot toad), 735 nucleotides long. The record is from the annotation of a GenBank genome assembly. NCBI's taxonomy places the organism in Eukaryota, Metazoa, Chordata, Amphibia, Anura, Pelobatidae.